UGGGGAAUAUUGCACAAUGGGCGCAAGCCUGAUGCAGCCAUGCCGCGUGUGUGAAGAAGGCCUUCGGGUUGUAAAGCACUUUCAGCGGGGAGGAAGGCGUUAAGGUUAAUAACCUUGGCGAUUGACGUUACCCGCAGAAGAAGCACCGGCUAACUCCGUGCCAGCAGCCGCGGUAAUACGGAGGGUGCAAGCGUUAAUCGGAAUUACUGGGCGUAAAGCGCACGCAGGCGGUCUGUCAAGUCGGAUGUGAAAUCCCCGGGCUCAACCUGGGAACUGCAUUCGAAACUGGCAGGCUAGAGUCUUGUAGAGAGGGGUAGAAUUCCAGGUGUAGCGGUGAAAUGCGUAGAGAUGUGGAGGAAUACCGGUGGCGAAGGCGGCCCCCUGGACAAAGACUGACGCUCAGGUGCGAAAGCGUGGGGAGCAAACAGG
This 429-nucleotide ribosomal RNA is filed under the name Chloroflexota bacterium. RNAcentral describes it as "Chloroflexi bacterium partial 16S ribosomal RNA". It matches the Rfam family "Bacterial small subunit ribosomal RNA", at positions 355 to 776 of the family's 1533-position model. The record is from RNAcentral. Lineage: Bacteria; Bacillati; Chloroflexota.